GAUGAACGCUGGCGGCGUGCCUAACACAUGCAAGUCGAACGGACAUUUUUUGGAAAGCUCUUCGGAACUGGAAUCUAAAUGUUAGUGGCGGACGGGUGAGUAACGCGUGAGCAAUCUGCCUUUCAGAGGGGGAUAACAGCCGGAAACGGCUGCUAAUACCGCAUAAUGCAUCGGAUUCGCAUGUUUCUGAUGCCAAAGAUUUUAUCGCUGAAAGAUGAGCUCGCGUCUGAUUAGCUAGUUGGCGGGGUAACGGCCCACCAAGGCGACGAUGCGUAGCCGGCCUGAGAGGGCGGACGGCCACACUGGGACUGAGACACGGCCCAG
Molecule: ribosomal RNA, 324 nt
Filed under: uncultured bacterium
Lineage: Bacteria
Description: bacterial SSU rRNA
Rfam family: Bacterial small subunit ribosomal RNA
Source: RNAcentral